AUAGAGUAUUAAAGGUAACGCCUGCCCAGUGAUAAAUUAAACGGCCGCGGGAUCCUCCACCGUGCAAAGGUAGCAUAAUCACUUGUCCCCUAAAUAGUGACUAGUAUGAACGGCCAAAUGAAGAUUUUACUGUCUCUUAUAGCCAAUCUAUGAAACUAAGCUAUCAGUACAAAAACUGAUAUAUUAACAUAAGACGAAAAGACCCUGUGGAACUUCAAGCACACCCCACCACUAUGGGAACCCUGCUUUUAGUUGGGGCAACUUUGGAAAAAAACAAAACUUCCAAUAUAUUUAAAGAUUUACACAUCUAUAUAUUAUACACCCGACCCAGCAACAUGCUGAUCAAAGAACCAAGCUACCCCAGGGAUAACAGCGCCAUCCCCUCUUAGAGCCCAAAUCGACGAGUGGGGUUUACGACCUCGAUGUUGGAUCAGGGCACCCAAACAGUGCAACAGCUGUUAAUGGUUUGUUUGUUCAACAAUUAAAGCCCUACGUGAUCUGAGUUA
Molecule: ribosomal RNA, 506 nt
Filed under: Pholidobolus dicrus
Lineage: Eukaryota; Metazoa; Chordata; Lepidosauria; Squamata; Gymnophthalmidae
Description: partial 16S ribosomal RNA
Rfam family: Bacterial large subunit ribosomal RNA
Source: RNAcentral